This 450-nucleotide ribosomal RNA is filed under the name uncultured bacterium. RNAcentral's name for it is "partial 16S ribosomal RNA". It matches the Rfam family "Bacterial small subunit ribosomal RNA", at positions 330 to 794 of the family's 1533-position model. The record is from RNAcentral.
UCCAGACUCCUACGGGAGGCAGCAGUGGGGAAUAUUGCACAAUGGGGGAAACCCUGAUGCAGCGACGCCGCGUGAGCGAAGAAGUAUUUCGGUAUGUAAAGCUCUAUCAGCAGGGAAGAAAAAAAUGACGGUACCUGAGUAAGAAGCACCGGCUAAAUACGUGCCAGCAGCCGCGGUAAUACGUAUGGUGCAAGCGUUAUCCGGAUUUACUGGGUGUAAAGGGAGCGUAGGCGGCGCGUUAAGUCUGAUGUGAAAACCCGAGGCUCAACCACGGGAGUGCAUUGGAAACUGGCGGGCUGGAGUGCCGGAGAGGUAAGCGGAAUUCCUAGUGUAGCGGUGAAAUGCGUAGAUAUUAGGAGGAACACCAGUGGCGAAGGCGGCUUACUGGACGGCAACUGACGCUGAGGCUCGAAAGCGUGGGGAGCAAACAGGAUUAGAUACCCUGGUAGG